Molecule: ribosomal RNA, 491 nt
Filed under: uncultured bacterium
Lineage: Bacteria
Description: partial 16S ribosomal RNA
Rfam family: Bacterial small subunit ribosomal RNA
Source: RNAcentral
GAUGAACGCUAGCUCCAGGCUUAACACAUGCAAGUCGAGGGGAAACGACAUCGAAAGCUUGCUUUUGAUGGGCGUCGACCGGCGCACGGGUGAGUAACGCGUAUCCAACCUGCCCACCACUUGGGGAUAACCUUGCGAAAGUAAGACUAAUACCCAAUGACGUCUCUAGAAGACAUCUGAAAGAGAUUAAAGAUUUAUCGGUGAUGGAUGGGGAUGCGUCUGAUUAGCUUGUUGGCGGGGUAACGGCCCACCAAGGCGACGAUCAGUAGGGGUUCUGAGAGGAAGGUCCCCCACAUUGGAACUGAGACACGGUCCAAACUCCUACGGGAGGCAGCAGUGAGGAAUAUUGGUCAAUGGACGAGAGUCUGAACCAGCCAAGUAGCGUGCAGGAUGACGGCCCUAUGGGUUGUAAACUGCUUUUAUAAGGGAAUAAAGUGAGUCUCGUGAGACUUUUUGCAUGUACCUUAUGAAUAAGGACCGGCUAAUUCCGU